CCUGGAGCUAUAUUAUUAUUGGCCAUGACUUCAUCAGAUCACAUAAAUUAAGAAUAGUUGGACCUGGUCAGUACUUGGAUCGGAAACCUCCAAGGAAAAAGGAGUCAACGGAA
RNAcentral lists this ribosomal RNA (113 nucleotides) under Chrysemys picta bellii (western painted turtle). The record is from RNAcentral. Lineage: Eukaryota; Metazoa; Chordata; Testudines; Emydidae.